Molecule: long non-coding RNA, 2658 nt
Organism: Manis pentadactyla (Chinese pangolin)
Lineage: Eukaryota; Metazoa; Chordata; Mammalia; Pholidota; Manidae
Exons: 3
Source: RefSeq, a predicted model, not a curated record
CCUCUGCUUCUCAUCCUUUUCUGUUUGGUUAAUUUUCACCAAAAAAAACACAAAAAACAGAAAAAUCUUGUGGGUUUUGGUGUUCCCUGUGAGGUGAUUUAGUGAAGAUGCUCCAUAUUUAAGGGACAGAGGAGAGUUUAAUAAGACCUGAAGCACAUAGCUGGCGUGCAUGACGCUCCUCCUGGGGAUUCUCUGUGAGCUCUUCAAAAUACCAGAGAAUGGAAUUAAAAAAGAAAAAAAAUAAGGCAGGAUUUGGAUGGAUUACUCAUACUUAAAAAGGAAGGCGGCUUUUAACCUUAAAAAAAAAGGAAGAAAGGAAAGAAAAGAAAAAAGAAAAAGAAAACUCCUUGCAUUAACACAGUGCAUUGACAUGUUACUAAAUCUAAGGAAUUUUGAAGGAUAAAUUCCCAGACUUGAUCCAAAACAUGAAACAAAUUCUUCAAACACAAGCUGCCAAGCUCAUCAACUUGUUCAGAUCUCUGUACCUUUGGUCUCACCAAACUGCUCGCUUAGCUUCUUGAUUGGCUGUUUAACCCUUCCAGGCUGACUGGGGUGGUGGGCAGGGGGGAGCCAGGAGGGGACCGUGCAACCAUCUCAGAGCAUUGGCCCUCUUGGAAGACCAGACUUCUGGAAUCGAUUUGGGUCCAGAAUUGCAUUACCCAUGGAAUGUGGAGUAUGCACGGUCCUUGACGGCUUGUGAACCACACUUCCUGGAGCUGGCCACCAGCCAGAGCUGAGACCAUCAGCAUCUUACAAAUGAAUUCUUUAUGAGACAAAGCACAAAUCACGGCCAUGGAAAGCUUGUCUCAGGCAUUGUAAGGUGUCAAACAGCCUGGGGUUUCAUCUUGCUGAAACUUAACUGCUUUCCUCGUAACUUUGCUUCUCUGUGCAAAAUACUGCCCACCAACUGCUCAGAAGACAGGACACGUAAAAGUAAAGGUGGCAAUAAAACUGAAGAGGGGGGCUGAUUCUGUGUCCCCCAGGACUUGAGGUCUAGUGGGCAUGAUGAGAUGAAUAUCUGGGAAGGAUGUUUAAAAAUCCAAAUAAAGGAAUACUCUGCAAGGGUAUUUAUAGGAAAGGGUGAGUUGUAGAGACCCAGUUAGAAAUGAGAACAUUCAAGCUGGUGAGAAAAGAUGAGGACGUAGGCUCAGAAGCAGGAGUCAGCAAAAAAGCUGUGGGUGUGUCUCGCUGGAGUGGGGGGAUCCUCGCCUGAGAGAGAGUAUGGUGCAGCAAGCAUGCAGGGGGCAGUUGGGGGUGAGUGGCAGAAAGAGAGCCAUGUGGGGCUUAAUUUUGCUUUAUUUUUGAAAGUACUGUCAAAUAUAAUGAUCUUAUGGUUAUUUAGUUACUCUCCACUUAGGCAAGGAAUCUUUUCACCUGAUAUCUUUCUGAUGAUCUUACUUCUUUUCUCUCUCUUAUUUGGAUCAUUUCCUUUCAAAGCCAGUUUUAUGUCCUGAAAAUGUGCCAUUGGCCCAUUAAAAUCACUCCUGGCUCUCUAAUUCUACAAUACUAUGUAUGUAAGUAGCUCUCCUUUAUCCAAGGAAGGAAGGAUGCCUUCUGUAUCAGGUGUUGCAUGCAUGGGUGAGACUUCUGUCCCAAUAAUUGAAAAGUUGAUUAUCUAGUACUCUGCAGGCAAAUCUGACAGUUUUAUUCCUCCCACACAUACCACCAAAUCUCAGCACCUAGGUGGUAAUAGUAAUGAUGCCUUACCAUCAGUGAAAAUUUUGCAUACAGUCUCGACUGAAUUCUCCUUUCUACUUAUAAAGAGGUCUAAGAAAAAUCUACCUUAAACAUAAAAUCUCUUAUAAUCCUUAGUGUCAUAAUUAUACACCUAUUUAGCCAAUUCUUCAUCCUAUCAAUAAUAAAAAGUAACUUUCUCCAAGUAUAUUGAGAUUCUAGUGAGGUCAGUAUUUCCAAGUAAACCCAUCAUAUUGAUCCCAAUGAACUGAAUUAUACCAAUUACAUGGGAAUCUAGAGCCAGCCUGAAGGAAUCAUUCCAAAUUAAAUGACUAUUUUAUAAGGUUUUAAAAAAAUAAUCUGCUUUCUAAAAUAACAUAAGGACUGUUACUUUUUAUCCUGUUUUCUAAAUAGACUUUAAUUGAUAAAAAUGAAGUUAACUUGAGUGUAAGUUCUUUUGAGGAUACGGAAAAUGUCUAGCAUAGUCCUUUGGUGAACAAAUUAGGGAAUGAGUGAAUGAAUGACUUCUUAAAAGAAGCUCUUUUUCAUUAGUCAGGGAUGGGCCGAACAAUAAAAAAUUGUUGGAAAUGGUCAUAAGAAAAAUUGGUUAAAUCAUUUCACUGUCCCUUAGCGUAGUCUUGACAAGGGUGUUGUAGAAAAAUCAUCAGUCUACUUGGUCGAAAGUCAAGGUGAUUGUAACUGUGUCAUCAUGGAAUACUACAAACUGACUCGGCUAACUUUCUACUGGGCAGCAUACUCCGGGGCUUUGACAACCCUAACAUUUUACUAUAUGUCUCCCCAGCAGGGAAGGCCCCUCAGUGAAUCUGAUCUAGUCCAUGAGUUUAGAAGGAAGAAGCAAAAGCCCAAGGAAGUGCUACAAUUUGCCCGGUGUCACACAUACAAGGCAGAGCUUGAAGGCUCUCUUCCUUCUAACCCAGCUAAUGUUCCUUUUACUGCACCAUGAUUCCAUGCUACAAACUCAUG